RNAcentral lists this small RNA (197 nucleotides) under Acinetobacter baumannii. Its description in RNAcentral is "Manganese sequence". The stretch from base 1 to 157 matches the Rfam family "Manganese Mn2+ riboswitch aptamer (yybP-ykoY)". Rfam says of the family: This RNA was originally discovered in E. coli during a large scale screen and was named SraF. The family was later found to exist upstream of related families of protein genes in many bacteria, including the the yybP and ykoK genes in B. subtilis. Lineage: Bacteria; Pseudomonadati; Pseudomonadota; Gammaproteobacteria; Moraxellales; Moraxellaceae. RNAcentral also lists the same sequence under 2 other names. The record is from RNAcentral.
CCAUACUUCAUUGGGGAGUAGCCGCUAUUCACAGCAAAUGUGAAUAGGUGAUGGUCAACAUAAUUGUUCAACAGAACAUGGUCAUCAUAGCUUAAACGUCUCAUCGUUCCUGAGUUGGCAAGACCUUUGAUUUACCACUCUGCAAUCAUUUUAUGAUAUUUGGCUAGCAGGAGGGGUAGGUCAUAGGCAUUUAUGCU